Cercocebus atys (sooty mangabey) is the source of this 1504-nucleotide RNA transcript. It is a transcript of the gene named small EDRK-rich factor 2 pseudogene, with no coding region annotated. Lineage: Eukaryota; Metazoa; Chordata; Mammalia; Primates; Cercopithecidae. The transcript has a single exon. The record is from RefSeq and is a predicted model, not a curated record.
UGUGGGCAGCAUCAGGGUCUGCCUUGCGGUGGGACCGCUUGGGUUUCAGAGCAGGGUCCCUGUUGUUUCCUGACAGACGAUCUGAAGCAUAGCUGGGUGGUAACACGGAGCUGCUCAGGGACUUUGUUUCCAACCGGGGUGCAUCUAAUCUUGUCCUGCAAAGGAAACAUGCAUGGGGUCACCAAAGGGCCUCUGGUGAAGGUGUGGGCACCAUCAGACCAAUUCUCUGGCCAGGCAAAGUGGGAGCCAGCAGUCUCUGCUCCGAACCUCAGUCCUUGAGGUUCAACUAGAGAUCGGUCUAGCUGACUUUCAAAGACCCUCCCCAAGUCCACAUUUAGGAGUAAGGAAUGGAAACACUUUUGUUUGGAAACUCCCAAGGAUAGGCUGUACUACCCUAGGGGAAAGAUCCCAGGGCUCACUCUCAGCUGAACGAAGCAGCCUCACCUCACUCCACUUGGACCCACAGGUUCUCUGGGGCCAUCUACUUCAUUUGCCAGAGGACCAACGGCCCCACUGGUGGGUCCCAACACAGGAAGGAUCCCUGGUCCAGGCCUGUAGAGGGGCUGGAGAGAAAGAGAGCCAGAGCUACCCUAUUUUCUUACUGUACAGACAGGGAUGCUGAAACUGAGCGGCAGAGCCAGGGUGGGGAACCCAGGCCCACUCCACAACCAUGAGCAGUCACCUGGCGAUUUCUGCUCAUUUCAGGAUGCAGACAACGUAGAGGCCAGAGGGCUUUUGAAGGCACAGUCCCCACCAAGCAGCAGGUAUAGGUACAGGUUUCAAGGAAUACACUGCCGAGCAAAGGGAAGGCACACAAAUACAGAUGAGGAAGAGGGGGAUGGAGAAGCUGGGUAGAGAUAACUUAGGGCAGUGAUCCAAGUCCUUUAUGAAGCCAGACCAGAAGGGAGCUGGCCUGGAAAACCUCAAAGAAGCCCUUAGGCUCUUUGUAUGGUACAGAGAAGGCUGGCAAGUCAGGCAGGUGGGAGCAAAGGGCAGAAGGACCCAUGUAAUAGACUGGGUGGGGAGCCGCUGCCAUCGCCAUGACCCGCGGUAACCAGCGUGAGCUCGCCCGCCAGAAGAAUAUGAAAAAGCAGAGCGACUCGGUUAAGGGAAAGCGCCAAGAUGACGGGCUUUCUGCUGCCGCCCGCAAGCAGAGGGACUCGGAGAUCAUGCAGCAGAAGCAGAAAAAGGCAAACGAGAAGGAGGAACCCAAGUAGCUUUGUGGCUUCGUGUCCAACCCUCUUGCCCUUCGCCUGUGUGCCUGGAGCCAGUCCCACCACGCUCGCGUUUCCUCCUGUAGUGCUCACAGGUCCCAGCACCGAUGGCAUUCCCUUUGCCCUGAGUCUGCAGCGGGUCCCUUUUGUGCUUCGUUCCCCUCAGGUAGCCUCUCUCCCCCUGGGCCACUCCUGGGGGUGAGGGGGUUACCUCUUCCCAGUGUUUUUUAUUCCUGUGGGGCUCACCCCAAAGUAUUAAAAGUAGCUUUGUAAUUCAAAAAAAAAAAAAA